CCUACGGGAGGCAGCAGUAGGGAAUAUUGGUAAUCUGGGAAACCGGGAACCAGCAACGCCGCGUGCGCGAUGAAGGCCUUCGGGUUGUAAAGCGCUUUUAGGAGGGAUGAGGAAGGACAGUACCUUCUGAGUAAGCCUCGGCUAACUACGUGCCAGCAGCCGCGGUAAAACGUAGGAGGCGAGCGUUAUCCGGAUUUACUGGGCGUAAAGCGCGUGUAGGCGGUCUUGUAAGUUGGAUGUGAAAGCUCCUGGCUUAACUGGGAGAGGUCGUUCAAAACUGCAAGACUUGAGAGUGGUAGAGGGAGGUGGAAUUCCGGGUGUAGUGGUGAAAUGCGUAGAUAUCCGGAGGAACACCAGUGGCGAAAGCGGCCUCCUGGACCACUUCUGACGCUCAGACGCGAAAGCUAAGGUAGCAAACGGGAUUAGAGACCCCGGUAGUCUUAGCUGUAAACGAUGUGAACUUGGCGUCGGUGGGUUUAAAUCCAUCGGUGCCGAAGCAAACGCGAUAAGUUCACCGCCUGGGGACUACGGCCGCAAGGUUAAAACUCAAAGGAAUUGACGGGGCCCCGCACAAGCAGCGGAGCGUGUGGUUUAAUUCGAUGCUACACGAAGAACCUUACCAGGGUUUGACAUGUAAGUGGUAGGAAACUGAAAAGGGACCGACCCUUCGGGGAGCUAUGAGAAGGGCGAAUUCCACACCCUUGGCCGGCCA
Molecule: ribosomal RNA, 712 nt
Filed under: uncultured bacterium
Lineage: Bacteria
Description: bacterial SSU rRNA
Rfam family: Bacterial small subunit ribosomal RNA
Source: RNAcentral